This is a long non-coding RNA of Amphimedon queenslandica, 396 nucleotides long. RefSeq lists it as uncharacterized. The record is from RefSeq and is a predicted model, not a curated record. Lineage: Eukaryota; Metazoa; Porifera; Demospongiae; Haplosclerida; Niphatidae. The transcript is spliced from 3 exons.
AGAUUCCUUCAUGGAGACCAGCUGUGUAUAAAGGAAGUUCAAAACUUAAUGUUAGAAUAAAAGAAGAAGUUAGGGCUGUCCAGUAUGAUAAGGAAGACAUUGAAGACAUAUGUCAAUUGUAUGGAUCAGUAUUAUGCAAGGCAGAACUUGAGGGUCACCCUGACAUAGUAUUAAACUUGACCACGCCUCCUGACUCCUCCCAUCUCGAUCACUUAACUGUUCAUUCUUGUGUACAGUCGUCUGAUGCUGAGCCAGUACUAGCUGAUACUACUAAUAGACACACUGACACUCCUCAUUAUUCAAGGAGUGUUAGGUUCUCGGCUCCUUUGGAGACAUUCACAUUGUGUCAUUAUCAACAGUCACCAGCUUUGAUACCAAUAAGAGGAUUCUAUCAAA